Molecule: ribosomal RNA, 253 nt
Filed under: uncultured bacterium
Lineage: Bacteria
Description: partial 16S ribosomal RNA
Rfam family: Bacterial small subunit ribosomal RNA
Source: RNAcentral
GACAGAGGGUGCAAACGUUGUUCGGAAUUACUGGGCGUAAAGCGCGUGUAGGCGGCCCUGUAAGUCGGGUGUGAAAUCCCACGGCUCAACCGUGGAAGUGCACUCGAAACUGCAGGGCUAGAGUCCUGGAGAGGAAGGUGGAAUGCUUGGUGUAGAGGUGAAAUUCGUAGAUAUCAAGCGGAACACCGGUGGCGAAGGCGGCCUUCUGGACAGUGACUGACGCUGAGACGCGAAAGCGUGGGGAGCAAACAGG